This 20-nucleotide small nuclear RNA is filed under the name Arabidopsis thaliana (thale cress). RNAcentral's name for it is "snRNA_12797". Lineage: Eukaryota; Viridiplantae; Streptophyta; Magnoliopsida; Brassicales; Brassicaceae. The record is from RNAcentral.
CCCGGCGAAACUCUCUCCGA